UGUGUUGGCAGCUAAUAUCUCUAUGUAAUGGUAAAUUGGAACCUUGUGUCUUCAAACUCAGACCUGGGAUAUUUGUUACCAGUAGAGGCAUGCUGGAUUUACCUCCCACAAAUGGUGAGUUGGAAGCUCCUGACUACAGAUAAGUGUCCAUCUCCAAAGACCUCUCCAGAGUUCUGGAACCUCAGGAGAAUUGGAAGUCCCUAGGUGACAAUAAUGCAUCUUGGAAGUUAG
Molecule: non-coding RNA, 231 nt
Organism: Pelobates cultripes (western spadefoot toad)
Lineage: Eukaryota; Metazoa; Chordata; Amphibia; Anura; Pelobatidae
Source: the annotation of a GenBank genome assembly